GAUCAUCCUGUCGCAAGUGCUGUAAAAGUCGAAUUCAGUGACGACGUUUUCGCUUUAUGGAGGACUGCAGAGAACUCUGAGUAAUUGGAGAUAAAUAGUGGAAAGAUCAGGCUUGUGACCACUACCUGUGAUCAUUGCACCGCUCUUUGUGCUCCUUUGAAACAACUCGACGUUUCUCGUCUAAGCAUUAGUUGCUCAUCAAUUCCCAAAGGAUAAAGAGGGCGUGUUAAUCAGCUUGUAACGAGCGCUUAAGUGUGUUACCAGAAAAAAUCAAUGAGAAGAAAGAUAUUUUAUGAAACACUAAUUUUCUCUAUACUUAACUUGAAUCUCGUAAUACCUUAAAAUUUCUUUAACGGUGAACAAAGUUUUAAACCAUGAUUCGUAUAAUUAAAUUGUGGCCGUAAAUUCCGAUAACUGCCAAUCCUAGAGUUUAUGAAACCACAAAUGACCCGAUGAAAUAAAGUGGCGACUUACACGAAGUGUUCAUCGUCAGUUUAUAAAACGUGAUGGCUCGUAUAUUUCAUUGUCGCUGCAAGCGAAUGAUCGAUUCUCAGAAUAGGUGUCCCGCAUGCCAGCCUUUUAGAUCUUUCUACAAGAACGUUGACGUACCAUUUACUAUCAAUGGCAUGUAGAUGGCUAAUGGCUUGACAAGUUGUACCGAGUUGAAAUAAUUUGAAAAGGCGGUCACUCUUGACGUGAAUAUUCUCGGAUAGCGAUUUCCCGGUGACGUCAGCAGACAUAGCGACGCGGUACUGGAAGAGCGGUAAUGCCUCUUAAAAUGGGGCAUUUUUGUCGAUAAUAAUAUUCCCCGGGGAGAUUUAUGCUUGUGACGAAAAUGGGAUCGCUUCCGAUCUUAAACUUUGAAAGCGAACGGAACCAUGCGAUGGCUCCCUCCGAAUAUAACGAAACGUCGUCGGUGGUUAAAGUUAGGCGAGAUUCUUGAUGCCAUACUAAGUGUCAAGUUAUAAGAUCGCCGAAAUCUGACAACUGAAGGACUUGAACGAUGACAAAUGCAUUCCGAGAACCAGAUUUAAAUUAUUCAAUUAUUCGCGUAAUGGAGAUAAUUUUACAUCUUGGAUUUGCAUUUUCUCAUGACGGCAGAAAUGAUGUGAUAUUAAAAUUGUUAGAAUAAUCCAGAAUAGAUUUUGUGCAAAUAGUAAAAUUCGUUUACUUCCAAUAAAAAGACGUAAUAUGGA
This is a long non-coding RNA of Ceratina calcarata, 1196 nucleotides long. RefSeq lists it as uncharacterized. The record is from RefSeq and is a predicted model, not a curated record. Lineage: Eukaryota; Metazoa; Arthropoda; Insecta; Hymenoptera; Apidae. The transcript is spliced from 2 exons.